GGGCCCGCGGAAUAAGGCGACGGGGCGAGGAGAGAAGGGAAAGGGGAAGGGGAAGCAGUGUGUGUCGGCGCGGCGGAGCAAUGGCGGACAAGCCGAGCCGGGCGCUGGUGCUCUACGCCGCCGGCCACGCGGCGCUGCUCGCCGGGGGCGGAGGGGGGAAGGGCCACCUCGACGCGUUCGCCUCCAUCGCCUCCUGCGGCUUCCUCUCCGUCCGCACCCCCGCCGUCAACGAGGAUGGAGGGGACAAGAACAGCGGCACGAUCCUUGAGCUGGGGCAGCUGCUCGACGUGUGCGAUGCCCUCUAUCCUGCCAAGGAUGGGGAAGUUGCCCGGGUGGAUCCGCAGGAGCUAGUAGUCCCCAAGCUAUCCGAGAGGUUCAUGGGGCUGAGAGCUGCUAUGGUCACCAAUUGCCCCGGUGUUAGCUCAUUCGCGGCGAAUCUUGGUUUCCACGUUUUCGGAACUGAAGAUUUCGCCGCGCAGUCCGGUUCAGGCAGCAGUUCUAAGGACACUAGAAUAAUCGACCGGGCGUUCACUCUGCUGGGAUUUGCAGAGGGGAACGUCCAGGACGCGUCCGAAUUCGAUCUGGUGUUUGUGCAUGCCGCAAUGGAGAGCACAGCCAGCAAGCUCAGGAAAUUGGGGAUGAAGACGGAUCUCAACCGGCUUGACAAACUGGUGGCUUCAGUCAUGGAAGCUGCGCCGGUCGGUUCAGCUGUCGCCGCCCGUAUUCAUGUGUCUGUGAUCUUGAGCUAUGGAUCUGCAACAGAAAAUAAGGAAGAGGCGUGCCUCAUCGUAAACUCUUCAACCGAAACUGAUUCCGACUUGAAGUUACUCCGUCCACGCCAGAGCUACACUAUGAAAGCAGGAAAGACGUUGGAUGAUGUCAGGAAUCAUCAUCCAAUGCUACUGGCACAGUGGCAACAAGGAGUAACACGUUCUGAUUUGGCCAAAGAGUUCUCUUUUGAGGAAUUUAUAAAGCGUGCUGGAAACUUUGCUAUGCUUGCCGAGCGCUUUCUACAUGAGGUUGCAUUUAAGCUCUGGAAAGCGCCAAAAUAUGGAGCAUAGUUCUAUCUGAGGAGGUUCUCUCUUAAUAAGGCGUGGAAUCACCUAAUAAAAGGGGUGCUACACAAGUACUUCUUUCAAAUGGGUACUGCGGCAGAUAUUGCAAAUAGAUGAGUUCUGUACUCUAAGGUUCUCAUUUGGUAUCACCCAUGCUCCAUGCCGACGAUGCCGUGGUACUGGGAACUCAUAGGUUCAUUACCAGUAGUAGUUACUUCGUGGAGAUCUAUUGUGAGCCUCUCUAACGCUUUCCUUAAGUGAAACAAUGCCAUCCUUCGCAGCUUUGCUUGAAAUUUCUUAACGUGGCAGUUGUUUCUGUGUCUAGCUCUGUAUCGGCUUUGUACCAUGUGCGGAUCACUGUAAUGUAGAUGCUAUUCCUGGAAAUGAUGACCGGCUGGAGCAUCAAUUUUAAUAACAAAUACUGGAAUGUGUUUUCCUAAAGAAGGAUAAUGAAAGCAUGGCGGUACCGAUCACC
This 1530-nucleotide ribosomal RNA is filed under the name Triticum aestivum (bread wheat). Its description in RNAcentral is "partial small subunit ribosomal RNA". The record is from RNAcentral. Lineage: Eukaryota; Viridiplantae; Streptophyta; Magnoliopsida; Poales; Poaceae.